Manis pentadactyla (Chinese pangolin) is the source of this 6353-nucleotide long non-coding RNA. RefSeq lists it as uncharacterized. Lineage: Eukaryota; Metazoa; Chordata; Mammalia; Pholidota; Manidae. The record is from RefSeq and is a predicted model, not a curated record. The transcript has 4 exons.
CUUGCGCUUUGAAACCCAAGGCUCCCGCCAAACCCCAGCAGCUCCUCUGAAGUGGGCCAAAGGCAGGCAGUGCGCUGACGGCACGUGGCCUGCGGGGGUCUGGGAGACGCCGCCACGGGGAAUCGCUGCUUCACGGGGUCACUGCCUGGAGUCACUGUCACCGGGGGUCGCUACCGGGAGGGAUUGCUACCAUGAGGGGUCACCCGAAGACGGAUCACUGCCUCCAAGUGCUCCCGCCCGACCCCGACAGCCACGCCCGCAAUAUUCCCCACCCAUAUCCCCACUGCCACCUCUGGGCGGCCCAUGCGUCGUAACAGUUUAUUUGGGGACCCGAAGGCAACUGGGGAAAGGCAUCGCCACCCAGCCGGGCUUCCCACUGAUUGGCUGAACGGGAGAAAGGCCGGCGGUAAUUGAUCUGGCCGGACGCCUCGGGAGCGCAUGCCUCGCGCCCAGCCUUCUUUCCGCCAGGGGCCGGUGGGUCAACGCGAUUGGUGCAGACGCGUAGGCCCGCCGCUGACGGCGCCGUGGCGUCGCUACCCGGCCUGUCCCGCGUUGCUUCGUCUCUCCCCACGUGAUGUUCUGGCCUGAGUCAAGAUGGCGGUGCAGGAGCCCGCCCACCAGCUGCCCAUGACCCUGGAGGUGCAGGAGUACCCGACACUUAAGGUGGGGUCUGCGGGGCAGGGCCGCAGUGCCUGGUGGCGCUCGCCAGCCUCGGGUACCCGGGACACCGGGAGAGGAGGGGCAGGGUGGGAGGCGGAGCGCGGCCUGGGGGUCCGGACAGGGUUGGGCGUUCGUCCCGCUCUGCCGCUGGUUCUUCUGGGCACGUCGGCUGCCCCUGCCCGCCCCCGUCACCCCGCUCCGGGCUUGUGGUCACCCUUAGGGGCACACAGUGGCACCCCACGCACGACCUUCAGUGGUGUGUGUCAGCUUCCUGAGCAGCAGCCAGGUGGCGGCCGGUCCAGGCAGCCGCACCGUUGCCCUCUCCCCCUGCCCCUGGACACUGCCCGCCUGGUGUCUGGGCCGGGCUCUCAAGCUGCGCGUCAGCCUCCAGCCAGCUCAAGGCCUGCAAUCCGCACCGGCUCAGUUUGCUAAGCUGUAAAUAGGGGUAAUUCUUGCCUGCCAGGAUUUCUACAAGCGUUCCAUGAGGUCAGGGAAUGUCAGCCGCCCUCUGAAGUACCCAUCUAACAAAGUCUCCUUGGCUGCCCCCACCUGGCACCAUCCCUGCAUGAUCUGAGGCGUCACGCUGCUCUGACUCCUACAGGCAGAGGAGAGAGUGGUUGCUGCUCUGGGCGUCCACCAUCCACACCCUUCUUGUGUGGGCAGGCCACCGCGUUAGGAAGCCGUGCUCACCUCCCACGGUAGCAAUGGGGUAGAAGGUGCUGGGUAAUGGUUUCACAGACCCCUUACGGCCAGGGCGCGGGCUGAUGACCUGGGUUCUGCCGGUCCCGUGCACUGCCUUGGACUUUGACUAAGAAGACAGCGAGAGGUGCAAAGGUCGGGGUCCUAAAGUGGUGUGUCUGCAAGCAAAGUGGUAUGAUUACUGGACCUGAAUUUGUGUUUUCAAAGGAACAGCAAGGGGGCAGUAGCCCCCAAGAGCUCGGGGACCCAUAAUGUGUUUCUCCUGCUAUCAGAAUUUCAGGACCAAGGACAGCAGCUGCCUUGCACCAUCGCGCCCUCUGGUGGCCACUGUAUUGGAAAGAGCAAGACAUUGUCUGGGGCCCUUCCAGCUGGUGAGCCGGGUCUUAGCGAAGGGUGGACUCCAAAGGAAGAAUGGGAGAGAAGGGCAGCGAAGGAGAGGUGCGUGUGGCAGUGGCAAAGAUCCCAACCUAGGCAGAAACGCUCACUCCGAAUGUUCCCAACUGCCUCAGUUUACUUGAUCGCGUGACAGGUGGUGGGCCCAGCAUCAUGUGGAACCGUAUUUACUCACUCAAACCAGGGGUCACUGGGAUUCAACACGAUCCAUAUUUCACCACACUGACGUCACCCCUUCCCUUUUCCUCUUGCUCAUAUUCCUUUCCUGGAGAUUUUACGUUGAAAUAUCCCUUUCAUCACAGCGUGCAUCGUCCUUACAGACAGUACCUUGUUCUCAUCAGCAAAGCAACAGUAAUUCCUUGGACUCAUCUGGCAGCGUCCCCUAUCGAAUGUCCCCUCACUCUGCAGCUGCCACUCGCGGGGUGCUCAGGGUUGGUUGAAUGGAUGCUUUGGUCCUCGUCCGCAUCUCCUCAGCUCCGCCCCAGUCCAGCCGCUGACGUUGUCUUUCCUCGCCCCAACACCAUAAAUUCUUGACUCAUUGCAUGUCGUGCAGCUAGUGGCAGGAGCUUGGACUGGGUAACAGAUUUGGUGAGCCAGCCAGGAGCUGCUGCUCGUCCCCAGUCAGGGGUUCCUUGGGUAAGUCUCUAGCAGCUGCCAGGACUAUUUGUUCUGGGCUCUCCUCUGAUCCGCCUGAACAGGCCCUAGCACCUGCCUAAUGGAGCAAGGGGUCAAUAGACUCGACAUUUCAAGUAGGGUUAGUCGCUCUUGUGUGUAUGACUGGAAACCCCCUUCCCUCCAUUGGGGCUUUUUUUUUUCCUGUAGAAAAGUUGUUUUGUGUUUGAUCGGGUGACCCAUUGGAGAAGGGAACAGUUGUUAAAAUUGUAGGGGAUUUGUGAACUGGUUCAUUUGCAUUUGUUUUUGGCUAUUGGCAUUUGUUUUGGGCCCAUUUGCAUUUAUUUCUGGUUUGUUAACAUUUCUUUCUGGUUUAUCUGUAUUGCUGAUUUCUGUGUUCUCUGUACUGUUACUUUCAAGAAUGGGGAAUGCACCUUCUGUCCCCAUGGGAAGCCCAUUAGGACAUAUUGAAUAGAAAGUCAGAUAACAGCUUGAACAUGUAAUUAAGGUGAUAUCUUAUUGUAACACUCCACAUUCCUAAUACGUAUUAGAAUCAGGAGAAUGAUGGCCUUUAAACAGCUCACUAAACUACUGUACUGUUUUAUAAUUGGAAUUGUUUUGUGUGAAAACAGGGAAAGAUGAUAAAAUCCCUUAUAUACAGGUGCUCAUAGUGUUGCAGCAUGAUAAAAGGAAAUGGGAUGAUUGCCACCUUAUAGUGUAAACACCUGUGAAGCAACCACAGAAAAAGCCUGUUUUGCAGGGGGGAGAAAUGGUGGACAGAGAGGAGGGAGCAUUAGCUCAAACUCUGAGUCCACCCCCAGUUUGCCAUGGUAUCCUUGCCUUUACUGCCCCCCCACCCCCAUUCUAGGGCCACCAUCGGUGCCUCCGCCACCACCACUGCUGCCCCGACACUUAGGAUUGGGGAGCAAGAAGCAUCCACAAAAAGGCAGGAGCCUCCCGGGUGGUAGAAAGGGAGUAAAAUUCACAGGGCAUACGAAGGGGUUCAGGAGCUCCCUUGGAUUAAGAUAUGUGACUCAAAUUUCCCCACAGGAGCCCCAGGGAAAAUUUACAGUGGGGAACAGAUGAUUGACUUUUUAGCAUAUGCCCCACCAAACAGGAAAAGCUUCUGAAAUGGCUAAAGCCCUUCUGAAAAGCAAAGGCUUUAAAAUGCCUUUCUAUGCUUUAAAAUGUCUAUUCUAAAACUUUCCAGAAUGUGAAAACUAACCCAAAUGUUUUUCAAGUUCAUGUGAUCUGGGAAAAUAUUUUUAAAAGUAUUAAAGCUAAUGUUUAUUGGCUUAUUUAAAAUAGACAUGCCUUUAGAGUUAGUAGCAGUAGAAUGAAAAUCUUUAUUCUGCCUGGGUUUACUUAAAAGGCAUAUAAGUUGCUGUUAUCUGCUAAAUAUUUUAAAAAAGUAGUUUGGGAGAAUGGUUGACUUUGUCUCAUGAAGUUUUUAUGGAUAACACAUAAUUAUUAAGAACAAGUAAAUUAACUAAGUGUGAGUGAAGUUUUAGGUGAACUUUUUAAUAAUUAUGUGUUAUAAUAUGCAUACCUGAAAUAGCUUGAAAAUCUUUUUGGUAGCCUGAAACCUUAAAGUUUCAGUAAGCUAAUUAAAUUGAGCCAAGACAAAAUAAUGAAACAUUAAGUACUGAACUUAUAUAAGGCUUAUAUACUUUUGGCUUCCUUGUUACAGAGAAAUGAAAGAUAAAUUUUGGUCUGCUAAUAAAUAUGUUUUAUACUUUAUUGGAAGAUUGUACUGUGAAGAAGCACAUGUUCUAAAAAUUAUGAAAUGUCUUCAUAAAUUUGCCAAUCUAAAGAGUGCUGCUGUGAUAGUUCACAAUUACUUAGUUUUAACUAGGAAUAAAGUUUCCAAGGAUUAACCGUUCAAUAAGAAGACGUCACCGUGUGCAAGAAAAAGAGGAUUGUAUUGUCAGUAAAAGAAGAUGUAAGAAAUGGAGAUGCCUUUUUGUUAAAUGAGAGAAAGAACUUUUAAUAUAAAAAAUUAGAAUUUGCUUUUCUUCUUGUUAAAAGGAUCAAGUUUUCUGGAACUACUGGUCUGCUCUUGAUGUUAAGAGAUUAUGAAAGGUUUUUCUUUGCCUUAAAGUAAUUGUUGUAGCAGAAUAAUUUCUUGUGCUUCAUGUUGUCUUAACCAGGUCUUUGAUUACUUAAGGAAGCUGAAUCUUCUCAAUACUAAGAGAGCUAAAUUCUGCUAGCAACGAUGUAACCUUCUGCAUUUGCCUUUAAAAUAUUUUAUUGUCAUGUGGAUUAAAAUGAGUGGCUAGAUGUUGUUUCAUAAUGGUCUGUGAUCGCAUUUGAACAAACUUAAAACUUAUUUCAGAGUUUGCAGCAAACUUCCCAGGGUCAGUUCUAAAUGGAGUGCCUUACCUCUGGGUGGCUCUGAAAUCUUUUUCAGAGAACGCUGGGACAUGUCAGGAUUUUCUCCUCAUGGAGGGGUGAUACUAAACUGAUAAAACUUACCUAUUGAGUACAUUGAUUUAUAUGAGGAACAUUGUUGGGUAAGUAAUGCUAAACCUUUUUUGAUUAAAAUCAUAUAAAAUAUGUUAUUAAAAGAAAUGUUCUGGAAGUUAUAUAAAACUCAUAGAAAUCUGGUAUGUCCUGAUGUUAUCACUUGUAAUUAUAGUUACUGAGAUGUUAUGCAUCACAAAGAUAGCCACAUUUCUUUGUCGGCUGCAUUAUAAUGAACUUCCGUCAGAUGUGUAACUGUGGCCAUUUUUCAGUCUUUUUACAGGCAGUGGUUGUUUUACUAAGAUGCUCCUACAAAAGGGUCCCCACAAAGGAGCUUCAUCUUCGAGGAGAUUCAUGAAAAUGGCUUUUGAAAAAUAUGGGUUUCUGAUAACCUUAAGAUCAUAAAAAUGAAUGGGGUAAGUGUUUCCAGAACUAAUGGAAAAACUGGACUUAAACAGGACAAAAAAUUAACAAUGGGACUGAACGAAUUAAGGGAAGUGACUGUGAUUGUUAUGGCUCUUGCUUAAAACAUUGCUGGCUUUCUAAUGUUUGCUUUUCCAGACUGAAGAAAACUGUUUCUCAAGCCUUAUAUGAUUUACCACAAUUUGGGAAAUUAUUCACUUGUAAACAAAACGUGAAACGUUUUUCUUCCUGAACCCUCCAGAAUUCUGAAGCUCUCAGUGAGUAUUCUAACUUUUAUGGCCUGUACCCAACCUGCCGCCAGGGGCUGACCGGUCUGCCAGCAUGACGCACCAUUCCCAAGGCCACUGUCGUUCCCUGGUGUUGUGGACCAGGCCCUCAGCCGUGGCAGUGGCCAGCUCGGCCCUGGAAGAGAUCCCCAGGUCAGCGCCAUGUGACGACAGAGAGAAGCUGAAGUGCUGAAGCCACCAGCCCAGGAAGCCACGAUCGCCAGCAAGUACCAGCUGGGGAGUUCGCAGCACUCUCACGGCAGCCCCAGGAAACAAAUACACACCCAGCUUUGCCACAAACUGACUUGCGCUGAUCCUGCUGUAACGUUCUGCCGGCAUAUUCUAGAACUCAACUAUCUGAACUGCCCCAGUGUAAUAGUUGAGAUGCCUUGAAAGUUCUCCCCUGCGGGUUACAUCUGUGUACGCAGGGCAGACAGGGGCCGUUCUUCAGAAAUCCGGGGCUCUGCACUCAGCCUGUUGUGAGUUAAGUGCUCCUCUGUGUCACCAGUGCCGAGACCUUGGCCCAAUCAGGUAACACCUUUGGUCCCAAAUAGCUUCUUCCAUGAACGUGGCCAUAACUGUACUGCCUGAAGAGAUGUGCGGAUUUGGUGGACAGCACAAGUACCUGGGCAGUCCCUGAUUCUACGGCAAUAAAUGCUUGAACUAAAUAAAAAUACCAAAUCCCCCAGUUGGUUGGUUCAUUCAGUAAGUGAAAUCAAAUUUCUGUUAAUAUCAUAGGUUCACAUCACUGAAGAGAUUAUUUAUUUUCACCUGUUAUUUAGAUAUGUAGGAAGAGAAUAACUCAGUUAUACCACGUUUUGUACUUUCUGAAGAGAA